RNAcentral lists this ribosomal RNA (431 nucleotides) under Giardia duodenalis. RNAcentral's name for it is "SSU rRNA". It matches the Rfam family "Eukaryotic small subunit ribosomal RNA", at positions 419 to 1018 of the family's 1831-position model. The record is from RNAcentral. Lineage: Eukaryota; Fornicata; Diplomonadida; Hexamitidae.
AGGACGGCAGCAGGCGCGGAACUUGCCCAAUGCGCGCGCGCGAGGCAGCGACGGGGAGUGCGCGAGCGAGGCGGGCCCACAGCCCCCGCCGCGGAGCCGAGGGCAAGGUCUGGUGCCAGCAGCCGCGGUAAUUCCAGCUCGGCGGGCGUCGCGUGGCGCUGCUGCAGUUAAAACGCCCGUAGUUGGCCCCCCGCCGCCACGAGGAAACGGGAGCGCUCCAGGCAGGCCCGUUGGACCCGCCGCGUGGGACCGCGCAGCGGGCGCGGCGCGCCGCGGCAGCCCCGAGGAGAGCGGGCGGGGGCACCGGUACCGGCCGGGGACGGGUGAAACAGGAUGAUCCCGCCGAGACCGCCGGCCGCGCAGGCGCCUGCCAAGACCGCCUCUGUCAAUCAAGGGCGAAGGCCGGGGGCUAGAAGGCGAUCAGACACCAC